CGGCCACCCAGGAGCAGAUCGCGGCCGGGAACUUCCCCGAGUACCUGAUCCAGGAGGUGCCGGGACAGCUCCAGACGCGGCAGGCGGAGCCCAGCCAUGACGACAGCUACAUGGGCUACUCGGUGACAGUCGGGGAGUUCAGCGGCGACACCACGCAAGACUUCGUGGCCGGUGUCCCCAAGGGCAACCUCACCUACGGCUACGU
Long non-coding RNA from Onychostruthus taczanowskii (white-rumped snowfinch), 205 nucleotides. RefSeq lists it as uncharacterized. The record is from RefSeq and is a predicted model, not a curated record. Lineage: Eukaryota; Metazoa; Chordata; Aves; Passeriformes; Passeridae. The transcript has 3 exons.